CUUCUCUCCAGCCAGCUCACCACGAGUCCUGUGUCACCUGCCACAUCACACACUCUUGCCAGUCAUUGAAGUCCUACUCCUGAGACCAAGACUGUAAACCUUGGGGUGAGGAGAGUGUUGGGGCCUCUCCCUGGGAGAGGAGCCCUUUCUGGGAUUGCUAAGCCGACAGUAGACAUCUAGAGCUGUCACCCAUUUCCUGUCUCUGUGUGGAGAAAGCUGACCAGGUGCAGCAGACAAUGGGCCAAACCCAAAGGGAAGGAGAGCAAAGUGACUGCGAGGACAGAAAGCUCUGUCAACUGCCCCUGAGUCCCAGGAUCUAGUGGUGCCCGAGCUCCAAACGUUUCUCCAUCACUGUCUCUGGUCGGUGCUGGGUCCUGGCCACUUGCAAGUCAUGGAAGGUCGCUCUGCCACUAGGGCCCCAUAAAAAUGAGGAUAAUGGGGUGGGGUUUCGGGGCUCCUCCAGCUCUGUGACUCCAGCUCACUACCAAAGCCCGUGAUAAACCCCGACAGCCAGGCCUGCAUCCCCUAGAAAUCCCGGUAUUCCAUGGGAGGAAGGUGGGGGUCAGGAAUUGCACAUCUGUUCUUGUUCCCUGGUCACCACGGCUGUCUGAGGCAGGGGUCUGCCCCCAUGUUUCAGGGCAGUGAACUGAGCCUCAGUGAAGCCUUGCAGUGUGCUCAAGGCCAAGUGCUGGUGAGCCAGAGGCCGGUUAGAAUCCAGAUCAGCUCGAUGCCUGCACCCUGCCUCUCCUCUUACAGAACAAGGGUUGCUAGUCACAGAUAAUCAGGCUCACCAGCAUUUUUGUGUUUGUAAGAAGUAGACUCCUAAAGCAGGCUCCGGGCUGACUCUGGGGCAGAAAGUCUGGUCCAGCUGUGCUGUCACCGACCCCCAUCUGCCACUCUCCAGGCUAGUGUGCUGGUUGCCCUGCCUCCAGAGCCGGGAGAGAGCACAUUUCUGUUGCUUAAAGCCACCAGGUUUGUGAUCAGUCAUUCCUUCAGUCACAGAAAGUGCAGUCCCUAUGAUCUCUACACUCAGCUUCAGGCUAACCACUCUGAAACUCAGAUAAAGAGCCAGGGCUGGGGACAGUCUUUGGUGAUACCAACCGUCCAGUGACUUGUCAGCUCUACUUGUGGAAGUAGGAACAACUUGGGAAGGAACGCAGGACGCUGGGUGUAGCUGGUCACUCUGCAUGAGUCACACUGGGACAGACUAUCUCAGCUUCCUUGCUAUUUCCAGGACAGAGAGAAAGACUAUGGUCACCUGGUCCCCACAGAGACACCAAUACCCACCAGUCUUGACUACAAAAGAAAAAAAAUUUUAAGUUUUUUAAACUUUAUAAUUAUAAAAAAAAUUUUUUUAAGUUUAUAAAAUAACUUGCUGCAGUUUGAAUAGGCUUUGUCCCCUGAAACUCGCAAUGAAGUUUAAUCCUAGUUGUGAGGUACUAAGGGGAAGGAACUUGACCUGGCCGUGGUGUGCAGAGUGGGGGGCCUUG
RNAcentral lists this long non-coding RNA (1490 nucleotides) under Marmota monax (woodchuck). The record is from RNAcentral. Lineage: Eukaryota; Metazoa; Chordata; Mammalia; Rodentia; Sciuridae.